GCAGAAAGAAGAGGCAGACACGCGCGGCCGCCGUCGACACAUAAAACCCACCCGCCGGACCGACCGACCGCCCGCGGCGCACACACCAAGACGACAGUCGGCAGCGGCGCUCCCCCCCUUCAACAGUCUACUUCCUCGUUUCCGUCCAGGUCAUACCUGAGUUGCUGCUGCCGAAAUGAGCAGCACGGAAGCCCCAACGCCCGUGCAGGCACCUGUGUGCUCCAUUGUGAACGACGGCCCAGCACCUCCAGCUGCUUGCUCCAUUGUGAACGAAGCCCCAGCUCCUGCCACUGACCCGAAGCCGAAGAAGAAGAUAUGCUGCGCUUGCCCCGACACCAAGAGGCUCAGAGAUGAGUGCAUCAUCGAGUACGGGGAGUCUGCGUGCACUAACUGGAUCGAGGCUCACAAGCAGCGCCUCCGUGCCGAGGGGUUCAAGGUCUGAUUCUUCUCUAGUCCCCUGAGGAUGUUGCAUUUGCUUUCAUGGAUGUUGCAGAACAUGCUAUUGGAGAUUCAGUUAGAGGAGUUGUCUUGUUUUCCAAUGCUGUGCCUGUAUGGUUUAAUGGUUAGCGAGCUCGAUACCUGUUCCCAUGGGACAUAAAUUACUGAUGACUGAUUUUAU
Molecule: ribosomal RNA, 619 nt
Filed under: Triticum aestivum (bread wheat)
Lineage: Eukaryota; Viridiplantae; Streptophyta; Magnoliopsida; Poales; Poaceae
Description: partial small subunit ribosomal RNA
Source: RNAcentral